Molecule: RNA transcript, 1544 nt
Organism: Mytilus trossulus (common blue mussel)
Lineage: Eukaryota; Metazoa; Mollusca; Bivalvia; Mytilida; Mytilidae
Exons: 9
Source: RefSeq, a predicted model, not a curated record
AAGCAAUAUUUACAGUUAAUAAAAGUGGUAUCAAAGUCACUGACUAGUUAUAGCCAUCACGAUAAUUUGGUGUAUGUCAAGUUUACUGUGACAUAUGGAUUUAUCGAUCUCAAUUCAUCAGGCACCAGAAGGUGUACUCGAAAUGUUAUUUUCAUCCAGCAAAAAAGAUAAUUUCAAUCUUGGGAUUUAUUGACUGUAGACAAAAUAAUCACGAAAGAACACAGAAGAAGUCAUGCAGACGAUUUUUAAUGGAUAACCAGUUACUGAACAUGAAUAAAUAUUUUAUGAGAUGUGAGGAAUAUAAAAAAAAAUAUGAUGCAGAUUCAAAAAAGACUUUUGUGUUGAAGAUGUCAAAUAAAAUGAAAAGUGGAGAAAGAAUAAGUCAUGAUGAUCUACAGACAAUGAUCCAUCUAGUUCGGUCACCCAGGGAAUUUGAUCUUUGUGUUGAUAUGGCUAGAAGUUAUCAAACAGCAAAGGUUUAUGCAUCUGAAAACAGCAAAGUUUGUUCACCUGUGAAUCACCAACUAGCAACAGUUCAGUCACCUGUAAAUAUUCAUACACCAGCAGAACACCAGCCAACCAUGUUUCUAUCACCUAAAAUUCACCAAACUUCAAAAGUUCAUGCUCCUGUUAAUCAUCACCAAACAUCCAAGGUUUAUACACAUGUAAAACACCAUACAGCAAAUGUUCAUGUUCUUGCACACCACCAAAACAACAAAGUUCAUUCUCCUGGUAACUUGAACCAUGAUUGCAAGGUUUCUGCAUUUUCAAAUCACCAAACUGUCAAAGAUAACACCUCCUUAACUGAUGAAGCUGAGAAUGUUCCUUUAAAUCCCACAAAGUACCAGAAUAGCAAGAUGGACAUUGGGUCACAGUUCAUGAGGAUGUUGCAUCAUUUUUAGAAAGCAUAUAUCGCUAUCAUGUUUAUGGAAGAUAGGUCCACCAUGAGGAAUUUUUUGUGUAACAAUUCUGUGAUUGAUGUGUAUAUGGAUUUACUAUUCAAGUCAGGAGAAUAUGAGAAAGUUGUAAGAACUUAUGCAGAAAUAGAUUAUUUUAAUGAACAAAACUUACAAAUCAUAUGACACUGGUCGUGGCAGCUUUAUAUAAUUUAAAUACACAGGAAGCUUUGGAGAAAGCUGUUGAAAUCAUACGUGACAAAUAUUUACAAGAUAUAACUGUGACACCACCAAAGGCACGAGCAUUUGCUGCAGCUUUAGCUCUAAGACAGGAUGAUCCUAAUCUGGCAUUGAAUAUUCUACAACUUGGUUCUGAAAGUCAUUCCAUAAAUAAUAUAAACUCAGCAAUAAGACUAAAUGCAUUGAAUGAUAUGGUGAAAAGAAAUAGUGAUCCAGAAAUUCUAGAGAAAUUUACAGAAAUGAAACAUAAUUUACGACAAGCUGGACUAAUAAAUUGUGUGACAUUAUUUCAAAAACUUUCACAUACUUUAUAUAGUAAUCCUCCUAAUAAAUGCAAAUGUGUAUUAAAUGAAUAUUUGACAUCUGAUAGAUGUAUCCCGGUGCAUAAAAUAAAAGUGCUAUAAAUCA